Molecule: long non-coding RNA, 1169 nt
Filed under: Taeniopygia guttata (zebra finch)
Lineage: Eukaryota; Metazoa; Chordata; Aves; Passeriformes; Estrildidae
Description: lncRNA (ENSTGUG00000026167.1)
Source: RNAcentral
CAUCCCAUCCCAUCCCAUCCCAUCCCAUCCCACCCCUCAGAGCCUCACCAGCCGCUUGCAGCUCAGUGCAAAGUCUCAGUAAACAUUUAUUCGAAGCUUUGCCACAAUUAACCUUAAGUUGAUUUGUGAAACUGGUCUACAAAUACUGAACUACGGAGUACAUGGUUUGGAUGGUCCGAUAAAGGAAUAAAUAAAAGCAUGUAAAGCUCUGUAAAAAAGAAGUCUGGUAUAUUGUAACUAGUUAACAGGAUUACCAGCAGGAUCUCGUAUGUGUCUAGGAUCGGAAGUGAACACACGGCAUCUCUUCAGACCAAAUCAUUUUUACAUAAACAGUUGUACAAACUUAAACACUGUAAUCAUAAAACCUGAUGUACAAAACAGGAUGUGAAAUCACUACCAUCAGUGCCAACAACAAGUGCUACCACAGCAAAUAUAACUUCUGAAUAAAAGGAAAGGAUUGGUUUUUACAUGUGCUGUCAUCACAGGUCGAUGGAAUUAUCCAAAAAGUUUAAAAUACAUGCGGAUACAAUAAAACCUUUUAUUUUCCAACCCAGACAAAGAGAACUCAUGGUCACUUAACACCAUUAGCUGCCAAAUACAGAUCAGUAUGUGAGGCAAACCACACUUAAACACUUACACACCACCAAAGAGCAAAGGUUGAUACUGGUCUAUUUUCCACACCGACGAUGCAACGACGAGUCUGGAGAAGCAAACCACGUGAAGGAGGUGCUACAAGUACAGCACUGAGUUCAAUGCACUGACACCCAAACCACCAGCACUGAGCUGUACUGGGUGUGUACACUGCACUGUGACACCCAAACCACCAGCACUGAGCUACACUGGGUGUGUACACUGCACUCUGACACCCAAACCACCAGCACUGGAGUGCUCUGCCAGAGGGGAAGAGCACAGCAGGAUCCCAGAGCAGACAGCUGAAAACCUUCAGGAGUGGGAACACUGCAGGAUUCCAAAGCAGGCAGGUGAAAACUUUCAUGAAUGGGAAGAGCACUGCAGGAUUCCAGAGGCUGGGUUGCAGACCAGGCAUCCAAAAACCUUCAGGAAUGGCAACACUGCAGGAUUCCAGAGGCUGGCUCCCAGAGCAGGCAGCUGAAAACCUUCAGGAGUGGGAACACUGCAGGAUUUCAGAGGCUGGGUUGCAGACCAGGCAU